UUUGUAUUUGCAACACUUUUUGCAGAAUGACUUUUACGUAUUACAUGUAUAACUUGUGGACACAAAAUUGCACCAAAUCAUGCAUCAAUGACUGAUGCACAAAAAGAACAGAAGUGUCACAAAGUUCAUUAUUAUGUAUGACAUAUAGUGCUGCAUAAGGAAUUAGUAUUUCGUGCUCUUUCACUGAAAUGGUUGAAAUACACAUACACUUUUGUUCACUAGUUGUUUUGCUUGCUCAUUAUGCAGAAGCUGGCAAGAUGGUCAAGCGGCUGAAAAAGAUGCUGCAGACAGCCGAAAGCAAGCCGGAGGAACCGGUGAUUGCUUGCACAAAGGUACGCUUAUUUGCUGCCAGUUGUUCCUUUUUUUUUCUUUUUUGGCCGUAUAGUGCAUUUGAAGUGAUGCCUUGAGCAAUGCAAGGUUAAAUCAGUGUUUCCCAAAUUGCUGGCCCCUGGAAUCACUUGAGGUGGUGAAAGGGGUCUGUCUGGAUCACUUAACGAUGUGCAGUUGAUCAUUUGCAAUUUGUGACUAUGACUAAAGCUGAUGCCUGGCCAGCAUGAUGGCUGGUGGCAAGCCGUUGCAGGAAGGUUGCUGAAACUAUACGCCAUUUAGUAGUCGUUAACAAUGAUCAUGUUGAUGUCACAUCUGCUGACAGCUGCCUGUGUAUCUGUAAGCAAUGAGCCAUCAAUUACGAAGUCCACUUGUGAACAAUUUAUAUUUGUCUUUCCGUCUUUCUUUUCUUUCUUACUUGCACCUGCACUGCAGUGUCAGUCUCUGAAGUAACUGUCAAAGACAUGCCUCUACAAUGCAAACCAUGUGACGAUGCUGCCAGACACUUGUUUUUCUUCUGCUGUCAUUUAUGGCUAGUAUAUUUGGUGAUACAUUGUUCACCUUUAUGCCCUGUAGGAUCAAAGGUGAGCUUCUAAAGUGUCUCUUAAUUUUCUGUGUCCAGGUGAACAUUGGCGGUGGCACGCUGGUUGACGAGUCAAUCAUCAACCAGUUGUGCCGAGCCUGUGACAGUAACAGUGGCCCUGGCAAAUUUGCCAGGGCACUUUUGCGCAACGUUUUCCCUGAAGAGUUGCAGGGCAAGUCCCUCUUUGGAGGGAAAAGCUGCCUUCGGGGGGAGACGCGACAAAAGGAGGCCCUCGAUCCCACACGUGUGGAGGCUGUGAUAGGAUACACCUGCACAAAAUUUCCGGGGGCGAGUGUGCCAUACCUGAAGAAUAGUCUUUCGUCACUCCUCUCCAGGGAAAUAAAAUGACUCACGUCUUCUGGUGGAGCUUCCUGCGGAAACUACUGCUGCUUACCUGGUGCCACAACGUUGGAUGAAUGCACGAAAAGCCCGCGACGAGCAUAUACAAAGAAUAAAAUAAAUAUAAAUUUUUCCUCAUUUCACAAGGUGUCUUGCGUCUUUAUGAAAUUGCACGUGGCACAUUUUCAAUGGAGGCUUGUGAAUAUCGCUCGCAAUCAAUUUUACUUAAUAAAAUGAUUUGCCAAUAAAUAUUUAAUAAAUAAAAAAUAAAUAUAUAAAUAAAUAUUUUCUGCAAAAGCAAAA
Molecule: non-coding RNA, 1552 nt
Organism: Dermacentor andersoni
Lineage: Eukaryota; Metazoa; Arthropoda; Arachnida; Ixodida; Ixodidae
Source: RefSeq, a predicted model, not a curated record